This 217-nucleotide long non-coding RNA is filed under the name Setaria italica (foxtail millet). RNAcentral's name for it is "long non-coding RNA (SITA_LNC002911)". The record is from RNAcentral. Lineage: Eukaryota; Viridiplantae; Streptophyta; Magnoliopsida; Poales; Poaceae.
CUUAGCCGCCACUAGGAACACUCAAGUUUUGUUAGAUGUAAGUUUAGCUUUUGCUACUUCCUUGUAAGUGCGUGUGCUGGAUCAGCCACUUGUCUUCUUGUCUUCAGAACCCCACCAUAAUUGAGAUUGAUUUUGAAACCUUCAUCUACAUGUAGUAAUUCGGUACUUGUUAUACUUGUCCUUGCUAGUUCUUUGAUUGCUUGCAGGACAAGUGCCC